This 13652-nucleotide long non-coding RNA is filed under the name Hordeum vulgare. Its description in RNAcentral is "long non-coding RNA (HVUL_LNC008701)". The record is from RNAcentral. Lineage: Eukaryota; Viridiplantae; Streptophyta; Magnoliopsida; Poales; Poaceae.
GUGAGAUCGAGUCCUCAUGUAUGCAAUAAUAUUUUUGCGGUCCACGAAAACUAUUCUUGUUAGAAGCCCACUUAACUAACUCGUGGCCCUGUGCCGAUGAGAGAAGGCCCAACAACAUACACAUAUGAUUCUAAAAAUGCAACGUACACGAAAAGUCCCUUGUGAUCACGACAAAUGGUUGCCGCUGCACCUUUGCUGCCAUUCCUGGAGAUACCCUCAUCAACCUGAAUCUUGGCUACUCCCUGGGUAGGAGCAAUCCACCGAGUCGGCCUAAUCCUGGGGGCACCCGCGGUAGAACAAGUUCCUCAUGUCUCCUUUUUUUAUGCUUGCAAGUUCAGCGAUAUAGUUUGUUACAAAAACAUUAGUUGCAUGGGAGCUCUGCAAAAUUUCUUCGUGGAUAGCUUUACGGCGAGCAGACCAAAUAGCCCACAAAGUAACCGGCUCUUGAAGCUCUUUCAUGUCGGGAAGCUAUGGCUCUAGCGCUUGAUCUGUCCUUGAAUCAAGUUGUUAUUGCUUGUGAGUGUAAAGCAGUUGUUGUUAGAGACAUUAAGUCUGGCACAGAGGGAAGAUAUAGUUCCAUCAUCAAGGAGAUACAAAUUAUUGCUCUUAAUUUUACUAUGUGUAAGUUUGUUUUCGAAUGGUGAGAAAGAAAUGUUGAUGCCUAUAAUGUAGCUAAAUUUGCUUCUGCUUUAGAUGAUGGGCACCACCUGUGGCUGGGUUCACCCCAUGACCCUUUUGUCAUACCUGUAAACCAUUCCCCUAAUCAAUAAAGGCUGGUUACCACUCAAAAAAAUGGAAAUGCAACAUACACUGAAUGAAUAAUAAUAACUAAACCUUCUAUAUGCCUUAACACAACACGUGUGGAUUAUUGAUGGCAAGGCUAGCGAUGCGGGCUCUCGAGGUUGCCUGUUCGAAUCCUCAAGAACAUACCAUGGCUGGAAACUUUAUUAUUUACUCCACGGGAUUAGCAAUAUAAAACCUUAAUGCCUUGGUUAGAAAAAAUAAAGAAAGAUAGGGACUAUUCCAUGAAAAUGCGACCAUGAACCAACGGAAGCAGCAACCCUUUUAUUAGAGCCUUAUAUCUAUUCUAUUCUAUAUGCCUUAACACAACACGUCUGGGUUGGUGAUGGCAAGGCUAGCGAUACGGAAUCCCGAGGUUGCCUGUUCGUAUCCUCAAAAACAUACCAUGGCUGAUUUUUUUAUUUACUCCACGGGAUUAGCAAUAUAAAACCUUAAUACCUUGGUUAGAAAAAAUAAAGAGAGAUAGGGACUAUUCUAUAGAAAUGCUGACGUUGAACCGACGUAAGCAAUAGCCCUUUUAUAAGUAGGUAUAUAUAUUCCGAAGACCAUGUUUAUCUUGGUAUUCAUACUAAUAUGGUUGUAUGCAUCCCUAGUUGGUGCAGAGGCCGAGAAGUAAAAUUCUCCUAAUUUUUAAAUCUGGCAGCCCUCGCGUCGCCCUCCCCCUAGGAUGACUCGGGGGGAGCCCGGAAACCUAGCCGCCGCUGCCAAGCACUCCCUCCUCCUCUUCCUUCGCCGCCGCCGCGGGACGUUGCCGAGCUAAGCCCGGGGGCCGACGGCAGUGGCGGGGGAUCUCCUCUCUCACGCGUCUUAGGGUUGGGGUGGGACCCCAAGGCGUGUGGCGUGGCGGAUGGCCGCCCCGUCCUCGGGCGGCGGCUAGGCACGGUGGGCGGCCCAGGCACGGACGGCGGCGUGGGUUGCGGGCGCAGCUGCCGGCCUUUCUAGGCUGCGAUGACGUGCAAACUUUCUUCAGAUCGGCAGCGGCGGCAUGGAGGGCCUGGUGGUUUCGUCGGCAGCACAUCCGGUCAGAUUUGUUCUGACCGAUGCGACCGCGGUGGUGGUCAUCUCUUCCGUCAGAGGUGGUCGGCCUGAGGCUGGGUGUUCGGAUCUCCGAAUCCGUGAUCCAGUACUGGCUGCGAGUAGGGGAGACAUAGUUGCCGGUGAAAACCGAGCCGACGGCGAGCGACGGCGGCGUUCUAUGUCGUUACCUUGAUGAAGGCAUCGUUGUGUGACUUAUAUCGACCCACUCGUACUGCUCUGGGGGAAACCCUAGGAUCUGGUCUUCCAGAUCGGACGAUGACGGUACUGCGGUGUCGUUUCUCUCUUGUGAGCAUCGUUUGUGGAGCAGUGCUGGUGGUCAGAGGCAGGAGGUGGAGCGGCUUCAUCUUGCACGGAGCUUGUCAUGCCUGGUCGGCAGGUGCUACACACGACAGAUCUUCCAGAGACUUCAAGCUGUGUCGGCUGGUGGUACUUGGCGGCAUGGAGCUGAGGUGUACCGGCGGCGACCGCGACGUGCUCAGCAGUUCGCGCGUAAGAUGGUGGUGCCGUUGGGCGCCGUGGUGGCGUUGACGGCAGAUAAACCACGCAAGGAUGUUGCGUCAGUACAGCUCUGAAGAUGGAGUAGUGGUAGUUGGCGGCGGCGGCCUCUCAGAGCAUGCCGGACCGGUGGGUGCCCCAUACCCGGCAAGUGGCUUGGUUGGGGCAUCAGGUCUUAGAUGUUAGGCUUGUCUGCGAGGUCUGUGGUAUUAGGCCCGGACUAUCAGCAUCCCUUCAUCAGAUGGAUAGGAGUAGCGUCAGUUGUCGCCUAGACGGUGACUUCAGACUUAUUGUUAUAUUUCUUUGUAAGGUCUUUUGUGAAUAAUUAAUAAAAUGGAUGCAUGCAUCGUUCAGAUGCAGAGGUCGGGGGACGAUCCUCCUUUUCUAAAAAAAACAGGUAUAUAUAUAUAUAUAGUUAUAGAUAAUGAUUCCUUGUAAAAAAACUAGUUUUGAAAUAAGUACUAUAUUCAUGGCAUUUGCUCCCAACUCUAAAUAACGAGUAAUCCUCGGGGUGAAAAACAUGUGCAUAAAACUAAUAUGGAUGGUUCCAAUGUNNNNNNNNNNNNNNNNNNNNNNNNNNNNNNNNNNNNNNNNNNNNNNNNNNNNNNNNNNNNNNNNNNNNNNNNNNNNNNNNNNNNNNNNNNNNNNNNNNNNNNNNNNNNNNNNNNNNNNNNNNNNNNNNNNNNNNNNNNNNNNNNNNNNNNNNNNNNNNNNNNNNNNNNNNNNNNNNNNNNNNNNNNNNNNNNNNNNNNNNNNNNNNNNNNNNNNNNNNNNNNNNNNNNNNNNNNNNNNNNNNNNNNNNNNNNNNNNNNNNNNNNNNNNNNNNNNNNNNNNNNNNNNNNNNNNNNNNNNNNNNNNNNNNNNNNNNNNNNNNNNNNNNNNNNNNNNNNNNNNNNNNNNNNNNNNNNNNNNNNNNNNNNNNNNNNNNNNNNNNNNNNNNNNNNNNNNNNNNNNNNNNNNNNNNNNNNNNNNNNNNNNNNNNACAAUCGAAUAUGUCAUGCGUCCCAUGUUUAGGCUGCCUUGGACUAUGGUCAAUAGAGCUGUUCUUACCACCACUGGUUUCUGGUAGGAAGUUAUAUUGCUGGGUAAAAAGAUCUAGCAUAAGUGCUUCACAGAGCAAAAUGGCACAUAUCAUCGUCCUGUAGAUGCAUCAUUAUUAUUUAGUCUAACCUCUCUCAGCUCGCGUGCAUCAACUAGUUGAUGUUGACCUUGAUACAAAAAAUGAAUGGCAUUCAUAAUCAUUCAGAGUUGGUCAUGUUAGAGCGAUAUAUAUGAAUGAUGUUAGGCCUGGAAAAAAAGUUGGAAGCUCGCGAGCUAAACGAGUUGCUCAUGACUCGGCUCGAAUCGAGCCGAGCCGAGCCAAGCUUUAUUUUAAGAUUGUUUAUAGAUCAAGUUAAACGAGACAAGUUCACGAGUACUCGUGUAACUCGUUAGGUUCGAUAUAAACAUCAGCCAUCUAGUGUCACCACGCAUCCCAGGCCAUUCCUAUGGACACAACAUUGAACCCAUCUGCAAAACACUAGGCUGAGCUGUCAAGGAGACGCAUGCCAAGAUUCCUUGCCUUACAUUCCUGGCGAAAUAGCGAGAUACCAAUCUUUCGAUUCCCUUCUUAUCUUCUAUGUUUCUGAAUCGUGAGUUCGUGAGAACAACAAUGCCACAUAAACACAUAUCCCUCGGGUCAUGUACAUGUUACUAAAUUAUUCAUUAUUAUGGUCAUGUACAGGUUACUGACUUGCUGAUUAUUAUGAUCAUGUACAUGUUAUUGACUUGCUAAUACAUUGAUGGUACUAAAGGUUAUAAAUUAAGCUACUUACAAUUUUUUGUGAACAUUGUGUAUGCUUAUGUUACAUUCUCACUUAAUAAUUUGUGCCAUAUUCAUAAGAAUUUUUAUCAUUAUUUAUUUUUAUAUCACUAACGAGCUAAAUGAGCUAUAUAUCACUAACGAGCUUAACAAGCCAAAUAAGCUAGCUCGCGAGCUAUACAAGUCGAGCUAAUCUUGGACUUGAGCUCGUUAUAGUAACGAGUCGAGUCGAGCUAGCUCGUUAAUCAAACGAGCUCUAGCGAGUCGAGCCGAGCUGUCUCGGCUCGGCUCGAAUUCCAGCCCUAGAUGAUGUGAUUCAUACAAAAUGUACGUGAGAAAGUAUAUGCGUGAGAGCCACUCAUCACGUAUGCGUGUCGGCCUACUUCUCAACCAACACAAAUGAUCACUAUGUGUUGUGAUAUAUCCGAGUCUACUUCCAUAUACGUAUUACACUAUCGUGUCAUUUACUUAGCCACUUUUGUAGGAAAUGAGAUACUGGAGUCAGCCACAGUCCACAUGAUCAACUGAGUGUGUCAUGAGACUUAUAUAGCUGGAUAAGAAUAUAUGGCACAAGUGCUUUACAGAGUGGAGAGGCAUGGAUCGUUCUCUUGCCAUAGCACUCUCCACAAGCUUAUUCCGCGCUACCAGGGUAGAUCCUUCAACAUUUGGCGUCAUGUGUGUAAUAUAGAAAAAUGAAUUUCAGUUUAAAGAAAGGAUGGAAUUGCGUGAGGCACUCAUCACAAAUCCAUGUCAUAGCUUCCCGCCUAACAGAUACAUACAUGACGCGUUUGGUUGCUUUUCUUAGCAGGGCCUGGUCAAGAGGAUAAAAACGGAACAUGCUGAGGAGGGGCUGGUUUAGGAAAUACAGGAUAAAAUACGAUUUUUAUGUGUUGUUUGGUCGUGUGUAUAUAAUAUCUUGCCAUCAAAAAAUAAUUUGUAUCCGAUAUUUGGUUGCAUACAUGGAUGAUGAUUAAGAGUUAAUAACUAUACUUAAUAGGAAGAUUAUAGGGAAAAUAUAAGUAACAGUGUGUGCACGGAAUCCUUUCGGUGCGGCGGCUCGCAACGCACUGCGUGAGCAGCGAAAUCGUUUUUGCACUGCCACUCUAGAGUACUAUAGCUGCUGCUGCACUAUCACCAGAAUCUUUCCUGCUUAGUACUACGUUGCUGCGUUGAUGACGCUAGGGGUGCCAACCGCACUGAUUUUACAGUGCUACACUAUCAUUCACAUAAAUGUGCUACAGACUUUGCGACACUAAUGUGCUACCUUUUUUCAAUGGACACACACACCAUUUUAACAACUGUCUAAUCUAGGGAUUACUUAAACAUGAUAACAAGCAUUGUUUUAGAGCAUAUAUCUCCAUAUGUGGUUUUGGUAAUUGAUGACAAUUCCUAUGGACUAAUGGUUGUCUUAAGUUAUAUUUAUAGGAUUUGUCCAUAGGCACUUCUUGAAGUCCAUUUGUUGGGUUCAAGGAGUUUAUAUGAUGACCAAGAUGGUAUUCAAGGUAUUAUUCAAAGAAUGGUCAUAGAGACACAAGGUUGAUCAAGAUCUCAGACAAAGAGUAAAUCAAGAUGAUCAACACACAAAGCGUACAAGAUGUACCGAGAGGGAUCAAGUGAUCCCAUGGUAUGGUAAGCAUUGUCCAUUACGUGUUUGUAUACUAACCCAUUGUCUUCGUGAGAGUUCUAUGCGGGGGUUAGGUGUGUUUCCAUGGGCUUGCGUCAAAAGGAAGAUCUCAUACAACCCAUGAAGGAUGACAUCAAGUGGUGAUCGUCAUCAAGAUUGCGGUGUGCAAGUUCAAGUGGAUCAACACGAAUAUAUCAUGCUUGAUGCUUGCCGUCCAUUGUGGUGGCAAUGGACUUGUGAAGAUAUGCUAAAGAGUGGCUCACCCAUAGUGAGUAUGACGGAGCAAUCAACUAGUCUUCAUCAAGCCAACGCAAUCAAGAAAGGUGGUCCAUCUUGAGGAAGCCAAGAUCUUCAUCAUCUAGCUCAAGAGGUCGAUGUGCAAGGUAUAGGUUUGCCCUUGAUAGGUUUUCUGUUUUAGGAUAGAUUGUUGUACUGUCAAGGGGGGCUCUCAAGUGAGUAGCUUGAUCGUAUCGUUCGUUGAGAGCUCAAACCAUUUGCAUCCUUGCAUCAUACUUCUUGGUUCUUAUUUGGUGUUUCUAUUUAUGAGUUUUAGAGCUUAUGGUCAUCUUCAUGACAAGCUCGAGUUCAUCGAAAACGGAGUCCAUAUGCAUCUACUAUGAUGUUUUCGAUGUUGGAGUUUUUGCCGGUUCUUCAUUCAUAGAGGACUCACAUCUCUAUAUCAUUGGCUGUUUGGAUAGCUCUUGUCGUCCUGAAUCCAACAAGCUUGGGUUUGCUCGAUUCGGAGCUCGUAUGCGAAAGUUAUGGCUCUUUCAGUGGCGAGCGGUAGUACCGCUGGACCUAGCGGUAGUACCGCUGGCCCUAGCGGUAGUACCGCUAGAGCUGGCGGUAGUACCGCUGUCCCAGCGGUACAGCGGUAGUACCGCCCCUGGUCAGCGGUAGUACCGCUCCAGGACUUUAGUACCGUCAUCUUUGCGGUUGUACUACGUCAGACUUUUUGCGAAGACUUUCUUGGCGGUGGUUGGCCCGGUAGUAUCUUUGUGCUACCAUGGGCUCAUCGGUAGUAUCGCUGCAGCCAGCGGUAGUACCGCUAGAGGGUCAGCGGUAGUACCGCUGGACUGGGGUUGUAAGUGGGGGUAACGGUCUGAUUCCUUCCCCACUAUAUAAAGGGGGUCUUCUUCCCCCUUGGCCUUAUCUAUCGGUUGAGCUCGUGUUCUUCCCCCAUUGUUGACCUUCUUAGAGCUUGUUAACUCUCAAUCCCUCCAAUGAUUCUUGCUUGUUCUUGAGGGAAAAGAGAGAGGAGAUCUAGAUCCACAUCUCCACCAAUCACUUUCUCCUCUAUGUGAGGGGAACCCCUUGGAUCUAGAUCUUGGAGUUCUUUGUGAACUCCUUGUUCUUCCUCUCAUAUUUCUUCAUAGCUUUUGUUGUUGUAGAGGGAUUUGAGUGUGAGGGACUUGACCACUUUGUUGGGGAAUGUCGCAUGGGAAACAAAAAAUUUCCUACGCGCACGAAGACCUAUCAUGGUGAUGUCCAUCUACGAGAGAGGAUUUCCGAUCUACGUACCCUUGUAGAUCGCACAACAGAAGCGUUAAGAAAUGCGGUUGAUGUAGUGGAACGUCCUCACGUCCCUCGAUCCGCCCCGCGAACCGUCCCACGAACCGUCCCGCGAUCCGUCCCACGAUCCGCUCCGAUCUAGUGCCGAACAUACGGCACCUCCGCGUUCAGCACACGUACAGCUCGACGAUGAUCUUGGCCUUCUUGAUCCAGCAAGAGAGACAGAGAGGUAGAUGAGUUCUCCGGCAGCGUGACGGCGCUCCGGAGGUUGGUGGUGAUCUAAUCUCAGCAGGGCUCCGCCCGAGCUCCGCAGAAACGCGAUCUAGAGGUAAAACCGUGGAGGUAUGUGGUCGGGCUGCCGUGGCAAAAGUUGUCUCAAAUCAGCCCUAAUAGCUCCAUAUAUAUAGGAGGAGGGGAGGGGAGGCUUGCCUUGAGGCUCAAGGAGCCCCAAGGGCUGCGCCACCAAGGGGAGGAGGAGUCCUCCUCCAAUCCUAGCCCAACUAGGAUUGGAAGGUGGAGUCCUUCUCUUCCUUCCCACCUCCUUUGAUUUUCUAUCUAUGGCGCAUAGGGCCUUCUUGGGCUGUCCCAGGAUCCCACCAAGGGCUGGUGCGCCACCCCCAAGGCCUAUGGGCUUCCCUGGGGUGGGCUGCCCCCCCGGUGAACAUCCGGAACCCAUUCGUCAUUCCCGGUGCAUUCCCGGUAACUCCGAAAACCUUCCGGUAAUCAAAUGAGGUCAUCCUAUAUAUCAAUCUUCGUUCCCGGACCAUUCCGGAAACCCUCGUGACGUCCGUGAUCUAAUCCGAGACUCCGAACAACAUUCGGUAACCAACCAUAUAAACUCAAAUACGCAUAAAACAACAUCGAACCUUAAGUGUGCAGACCCUGCGGGUUCGAGAACUAUGUAGACAUGACCCGAGAGACUCAUCGGUCAAUAUCCAAUAGCGGGACCUGGAUGCCCAUAUUGGAUCCUACAUAUUCUACGAAGAUCUUAUCCUUUGAACCUCAGUGCCAAGGAUUCAUAUAAUCCCGUAUGUCAUUCCCUUUGUCCUUCGGUAUGUUACUUGCCUGAGAUUCGAUCGUCAGUAUCCGCAUACCUAUUUCAAUUCCGUUUACCGGCAAGUCUCUUUACUCGUUCUGUAAUACAAGAUCCCGCAACUUACACUAAGUCACAUUGCUUGCAAGGCUUGUGUGUGAUGUUGUAUUACCGAGCGGGCCCCGAGAUACCUCUCCGUCAUACGGAGUGACAAAUCCCAGUCUUGAUCCAUACUAACUCAACGAACACCUUCGGAGAUACCUGUAGAGCAUCUUUAUAGUCACCCAGUUACGUUGCGACGUUUGAUACACACAAAGCAUUCCUCCGGUGUCAGUGAGUUAUAUGAUCUCAUGGUCAUAGGAAUAAAUACUUGACACGCAGAAAACAGUAGCAACAAAAUGACACGAUCAGCAUGCUACGUCUAUUAGUUUAGGUCUAGUCCAUCACAUGAUUCUCCUAACGAUGUGAUCCCGUUAUCAAGUAACAACACUUGCCUAUGGCCAGGAAACCUUGACCAUCUUUGAUCAAUGAGCUAGUCAACUAGAGGCUUACUAGGGACAGUGUUUUGUCUAUGUAUCCACACAAGUAUUGUGCUUCCAAUCAAUACAAUUAUAGCAUGGAUAAUAAACGAUUAUCAUGAACAAAGAAAUAUAGUAAUAACUAAUUAUUAUUGCCUCUAGGGCAUAUUUCCAACACACUUCGUGUGUUCUUGCCAUUGCAUUAGUUGGAUCGGUUUGAGUUCUCCACGAUAAUACGUGGAAGUGAUGGUUGAGAAGCUUAUUACUUUUUGGUACUCAGUACCCUAGAGUUUGUUCUUCGUGGAUGCUUUGGCGUCCUAGAAGCUUGGUGGUGUCUUGGAGCUCAAUCAUUGUGGUGUAAAGCUCCGGGCAAGCGUCGGGGUCUCCAAUUAGGUUGUGGAGAUUGCCCCGAGCAAUUUGUAUGGGUACUGGUAACCGCCCCCAAGGGUUGCCACGUGUACGGGUUCGGUGACCGCCUCCAAGGGUUGCCAUUUGUACGGGUUCAGUGACCACCCUCAAGGGUCCCUUAGUGGAAUCACGACAUCUUGCAUUGUGCGAGGGCGUGAGGAGAUUACGGUAGCCUUAGUGGCAUCUUGGGGAGCAUUGUGCCUCCACACCGCUCCAACGGAGAUUAGCAUCCGCAAGGGUGUGAACUUCAGGAUACAUCAUUGUCUACGCGUGCCUCGGUUAUCUCUUACCCAAACCCUUUACUUAUGCACUUUACUUUGUGAUAGACAUAUUGUUUAUUGUCAUAUAUCUUGCUAUCACUUAGUUGUUUAUCUUGCUUAGCAUAAGUUGUUGGUGCACAUAGGUGAGCCUAGUUGUUUUAGGUUUUGUGCUUGACAAAUUAAACGUUAGUUUUAUUCCGCAUUUGUUCAAGCCUAAACCGUAAUUAUUUUAAAGCGCCUAUUCACCCCCUCUAGGCGACAUCCACGUCCUUUCACAUUGGACCUGACAAACUAAGCAUUUCAGAAUUUGGUGAAAAGUACUAGUAAUUUGGCAACUAAGCUUUUCAUAAACUGACGACCAGGUAUCCACAAUCUGACAAUUGAAGGUGAUAAAUGGACGACCGAGUAUCCACAAUCUGACAACUGAAGAUGAUAAACUUGGUGACAACUAAGUACUUUUUAUUUCCUGACAACUAAGUAAUUUGUGUUUUCUAGCAACUAAGCAUGUUUAACAUGACAACAAAUAAUGUGUAUUCACAACUAACUACUUGUCAUUAAUAGGAACUAACUACUAGCAUCUUGACAACUAAGUUUUUAUAAAAUUGGCAACUAUGCAAUUUUAAACUACUACUAGUAGUACUAGUACUAACCAGAUGUAUUUAGCUAGUGAAUAAGGUGUGCCAACACAUGUUUUGUGUGUGACACUUUUUAUACUUUUGUGGUGCCAUCUGCAUAUCCUUCUAGCCCAUGUUGUUGUGUGCUAAAAUAUGGAUACAUGCUGGUGUGCGCUAAAAUAUGGAUACAUGCUGCACAUGGUUCACAUCGAGAAAAAUGGCAAUUAAGUUAUUUUUUCUGGCAAGUAAGUGACAAAUAAUAUGACCAGUAUGUCCAAAAAUGUGGCAAUUAGGGGUUUAGAAAUAAUUUCUCGAAACAUGUCGACAUGGGUCUAGUUUUGAAGAUCUCGUCGCGACAAAGCCAACGAUGAAAACGGAUCGUUAAUUAUAUUAACGGUUUUAGAGAUAAAACCUUUUAGAUUUCAAUGCAAUAGAGAGAAUCUUGAUGAUCUCAUUGCAUGCAUGCAUGGUAGGGAGAGGGAAUUAGCCGCUGCAUGGAAAGACUCACAUGCGGCGCCACUGUGUAGUUAGGUCCAAGAUUAUAAUAGAACUCCGACAUGCUUGGGUGGCUGCAGACCAAACGACCAUGGUAGAAGGAACCAUGGGCAUGUGUGCUAGCCGGCGUCAAUGCUGCUAGCGCCGCCGCUGUACCAACAGCCUCUCAGCGACGUUGUCAAUAAGGUCGGGCACAAUGAAAAUGGCAGAGCAAACUCUUCUUGGAGCAGCUAGUGAUAAUACGGAUCUCUGCUCGAAGCAGAGGAGCAAAGAACUCUGCGAUCUUCUCAGGGGUGGCCUCCGAUCCACAACGGCGUCCGCCUCGCAAACUAAGGCGCCUCGUCCGCCAUCAGGGCGCCCACAUGCCGCGUCCUGUUGGCUUGUGGGGGCCUCGUGCGCUUUCCGACCUUUUUUCGAUUCUUAACGGUCUUGUUUUGGUUCGGAAAAAAAUCAUGAGAAGUUUCAGGUCAAUUGGGCUUUGUUUGGUACUGAAAUUAGAAAAGUGAAAAACAUGUAGAAAACAACAACUAGCACUGGGGAGUGGAUCAAUAGGUUAGUGCUAAAAAAUAAUAUAAAUUGGUAGCUAAGUGCUUAAAAAGUGUUCUAAAAUGAUAACAUAAUAGCACGAAACAAUCAAAAAUUAUAGAUACAUUGGAGACGUAUCAAGCAUCCCAAGCUUAAUUCCUGCUCGUGCUCGAGUAGGUAAAUGAUGAAAACAAAAUUUUUGAUGUUACAUGCUAUCCAUGAUGUAUUCUUAUGCAUGUAUGUACAUUGAGAAAUGAUGAAUUAACAAAUAUUAGCAGAAUAAUAUUCAUAAGUAUAAGCAACAAAACAAUUAAUUUUUGAAAGUGUACGAUCCUCAAAGAUUGUUUCAACCAUAUCCAUCUUUAUUAUAUUAGCAAGGCAUGGCUCCAUCUUCACCACAUAACUAAAAAUGUCAAGCACCGCGGUGUUCAAGUCAGGCAAUUGGAUCGUACCUUUUUAAUAAGAAUCAUUUUUUUAUUCUUUAAGAAAUACAUGAGCGUGAACCAUUGGACAUAGCAUAUAGGUGGAAUAUUGUAAGGUGGUAGGUUUCAAAGGGGUUGGAAAGUGAAGAAGAUAGUCUCAUAUCAACUUAGCGUACCAACGGGCUAUUGAGAUGCCCAUCGAUAGAUAUUGACACAAGGAGUAGGGAUUGCCAUGCAAAUGAUGCACUAGAGUUAUAAGUGUAUGGAAAAUCCACUGAAGCUAGGUGGGGUGUGCAUCCAACUCGCUUGCUCAUGAAGACCUCGGGCAUUUGGGGAAGCCCGUUAUCUGAAUAUACAAGCCAAGUUUAUAUUUUUUUUCAUUCCCACUAGCAUACGAAAGAUAUAACAUGAGACUCUCUACAUGAUGAACAUGUUGCCACUUUUAGGCAAAAGUGUGGUAAAGGAUAGUAGGAAAGUCCCUUCACUUUUUUUUCUCUCAUUCAUUUCUUUAUGGUGGGCUGGAUCCUCGCUGAUUGCGUUGAUUUCCCUCCAAGCUUAAAGGGUGGUGUAACACAGUGACGACAAGUAUUUCCUCAGUUAUGAACCAAGGUAUCAAUCGAGUAGGAAGGUUCACAAAACUAUGUAAGCAGUACCUGCACACAAAUAACAAAUCCUCACAACCCAACACGUGUAGGGGCUGUCAAUCCCUCGUGGGUAAAAUAGGAAGUUAAAAGGAUGGAUUGAUAGAUGCAAAUAAAGUAAUGGUAAAUAAAAUGCAACAAGGUAUUUUGGGUCUUUUGAUAAUAUAGAUCUGAAAAUAAAAGAGCAAAUAAAUUGGAAACGAGAAUAACAAAAUAGAUCUUGCAAAUAGAUGAUGUAAAAUAGACUCGGGAGCCGUAGGUUUCAGUAGUGGCUUCUCUCGAGAAAAUAGCUUCGCUGGGUAGACAAAGUAUUGUUGGGCAAUUGAUAGAAGAGCGAAUAAUUAUGAUGAUAUCCAAGACAAUGAUCAUGUAUAUAGGCAUCACGUCAAAGACAAGUAGACCGACUCUUGCCUGCAUCUACUACUAUUACUCCACACAUCGACCACUAUCAAGCAUGCAUCUAGUGUAUUAAGUUCAUGGAGAAACGGAGUAAUGAUUUAAGAACGAUGACAUGAUGUAGACAAGAUGUACUCAUGUAGGAAUAGACACCAUCGUUUUAUCCUUAACUAACUCGUGGCCCUGUGCCGAUGAGAGAAGGCCCAACAACAUACACAUAUUAUGAUUCUAAAAAUGCAACAUGCACUGAAUGAAUAAUAAUAAUUAAACCUUCUAUAUGCCUUAGCACAACACAUCUAGAUUAGUGAUGGCAAGGCUAGCGAUGCGGGAUCCCGAGGUCGCCUGUUCGAAUCCUCAAGAACAUACCAUGGCUGAAAUCUUUAUUAUUUACUCCACGGGAUUAGCAAUAUAAAACCUUAAUACCUUGGUUAGAAAAAAUAAAGAAAGAUGGGGACUAUUCCAUGAAAAUGUGACGAUGAACCGAUGGAAGCAACAACCCUUUUAUUAGGGUCUUCUAUCUAUUCUAUUCUAUAUGCCUUAACACAACACGUCUGGGGUGGUGAUGACAAGGCUAGCGAUGCGGGCUCCCGGGGUUGCCUGUUCGAAUCCUCAAGAACAUACCAUGGCUGAAAACUUUAUUAAAUACUCCACGGGAUUAACAAUAUAAAACCAUAAUACCUUGGUUAGAAAAAAUAAAAAAAUAUAGGGACUAUUCCAUGAAAAUGCGACGAUGAACCGACGGAAGCAACAACCAUUUUAUUAGGGUCUUCUAUCUAUUCUAUUAUGUAUGCCUUAUAACACAACACGUCUGGGUUGGUGAUGGCAAGGCUAGCGAUACGGGCUCCCGAGGUUGCCUGUUCGUAUCCUCAAAAACAUACCAUGGCUGAAUUUUUUUAUUUGCUCCAUGGGAUUAGCAAUAUAAAACCUUAAUAUCUUGGUUAGAGAAAAUAAAGAAAGAUUGGAACGAUUCUGUAGAAAUGUUGAGGUGAACCGAUGCAAGCAAUAGCCCUUUUAUAAGUAGGUAUAGAUAUAGAUAUAGAUAAUGUUUCCUUGUAAAAAAAAACUAGUU